CUGGUGUGUUAGUUUGGAUUAAUCAUCCUCCUCUAAUUGAGAUUUCUAAUCAAACUGAGAAUACACAUAAUCAGCCAGAUCAAAAUAUCGGCUUCAGUAGUGGUGAAGCUGGCUUGGAGAGCAUGUCUUGGGUGCAAAUGGAAAAAGGGUUUUCCUACCCUUCACAUCUGCAUCCCCCCAUGGCAAGUAGCUGGAGAUCUGCAGGCCUCCCUCCAGUGGUUCUCUGAACUCCAGGCUUCAAGCUCAAGAGAGAUGGGAAUGCAGUAGAAAGAAACAGAGAGAAAUGGACCACUCAACCUAUUAACCUCAGUUAAUAGGAGUCUCAUGGCCAUCAAACUUUCACCAACAGAAGCACCCUCUCCUGCCCUGGGAGGAGCAUGUAAAAGGGUUAUCAUAAAGACCCCAAAGGGAUAUCUCAAUACUAUCCACUCUGGAAGUGGAGGAUUCAUGCCCCUAUGGGAAAGAGUUCCCAGGUGAUAUUGAUGCAGCUAUUCUGAAGAAUUACACUUGGAGAACCACGGCUCUAACCUAGCCUCUUCAAUUGAAGAAGCAGACACCUCUGGUGCCCAUGUCACAUUCCCGAAGGCCCAUUUAAGUUCUGUAUGUGCUCAAAGUCCCCUUGCCUCAAGCACAUGCCAUGCAUCUAUCUGCCCUCUGUUCCAGAGCACCCUCACCUAUGCACAGCUCUGAAGUGCAAAGGAGUUAAGACCACUGGGCCUCCCAUGCUUCAGAUGCACCAAUCUGGGAGGAUUCUGCAUGCUUUGUAUGAGGUCCCAGCAUUGUUGAGCCCCAGUUGCCCACAGCAGCAAGCUCUAUAACACACUGCCAGAUUUGCCUUUCUUCUUCCCGUCUCACCCUUCCUAUUCUCUUGCUUUUAUUUCCUAAGAUCACCUCCUAAAUAAACUACUUGCAUCCAA
Molecule: long non-coding RNA, 917 nt
Organism: Homo sapiens (human)
Lineage: Eukaryota; Metazoa; Chordata; Mammalia; Primates; Hominidae
Source: Ensembl